This 76-nucleotide transfer RNA is filed under the name Rickettsiales bacterium. RNAcentral describes it as "tRNA-Ala". It matches the Rfam family "tRNA". Rfam says of the family: Transfer RNA (tRNA) molecules are approximately 80 nucleotides in length. Their secondary structure includes four short double-helical elements and three loops (D, anti-codon, and T loops). Lineage: Bacteria; Pseudomonadati; Pseudomonadota; Alphaproteobacteria; Rickettsiales. The record is from RNAcentral.
GGGGCUAUAGCGCAGCUGGUAGCGCGCUUGCAUGGCAUGCAAGAGGUCACGAGUUCGAAUCUCGUUAGCUCCACCA